AAAGAUUAAGCCAUGCAUGUCUAAGUAUAAGCAAUUAUACGGCGAAACUGCGAAUGGCUCAUUAUAUAAGUUAUCGUUUAUUUGAUAGCACAUUACUACUUGGAUAACCGUGGUAAUUCUAGAGCUAAUACAUGCUAAAAAUCCCGACUUCGGAAGGGAUGUAUUUAUUAGAUUAAAAGCCAAUGCCCUCUGGGCUCUCUGGUGAAUCAUGAUAACUGCUCGAAUCGCAGGGCCUCGUGCCGGCGAUGGUUCAUUCAAAUUUCUUCCCUAUCAACUUUCGAUGUUUGGGUAUUGGCCAAACAUGGUUACAACGGGUAACGGAGGGUUAGGGCUCGACCCCGGAGAAGGAGCCUGAGAAACGGCUACUACAUCCAAGGAAGGCAGCAGGCGCGCAAAUUACCCAAUCCCGACACGGGGAGGUAGUGACAAUAAAUACUGAUACAGGGCUCUUUCGGGUCUUGUAAUUGGAAUGAGUACAAUUUAAAUCCCUUAACGAGGAACAAUUGGAGGGCAAGUCUGGUGAACGUUGCUGGUGCCAGAGAGAGCUACCCCUCUGUGGGCGAUGGAAGAUAGCUAGUCGAGCGCUCGAUCAGUGACGGGUGAGCGCCGGCGAGACGACCUGGAUCGGGGAAGGCUAAGGGCCCCAAGCUGGCCUACGCUGAUCCCGAGCAGAGCCCCGCGGCCAGUGUGCCGGGAGGGCCUGUGUAGAGCGCGCCAAGGUGUCGGUCCAGAGGGGGGCGGGGGCGANNNNNNNNNUCCCCCCCCCCAGGGCUUAAGGUACGUGCCAAUCCCCUGCGAAAGCAGGGCCCUGCGGAGUAGCACCCGUCGUGCGAAGCCGCGGGGGAGGACGCCCUGAGCGAUGGUGCCUGGGUGGCCUGUGACAACAUAGUGGCCAGCAGCCGCGGUAAUUCCAGCUCCAAUAGCGUAUAUUAAAGUUGUUGUGGUUAAAAAGCUCGUAGUUGACCCUUGGGCCUGGCUGGCCGGUCCGCCUCACCGCGUGUACUGGUCCGGCCGGGCCUUUCCCUCUGUGGAACCCCAUGCCCUUCACUGGGCGUGGCGGGGAAACAGGACUUUUACUUUGAAAAAAUUAGAGUGCUCCAGGCAGGCCUAUGCUCGAAUACAUUAGCAUGGAAUAAUAGAAUAGGACGUGCGGUUCUAUUUUGUUGGUUUCUAGGACCGCCGUAAUGAUUAAUAGGGACAGUCGGGGGCAUCAGUAUUCAAUUGUCAGAGGUGAAAUUCUUGGAUCUAUUGAAGACUAACUACUGCGAAAGCAUUUGCCAAGGAUGUUUUCAUUAAUCAAGAACGAAAGUUAGGGGAUCGAAGACGAUCAGAUACCGUCGUAGUCCUGACCGUAAACUAUGCCGACUAGGGAUCGGACGAUGUUAUUUUUUGACUCGUUCGGCACCUUACGAGAAAUCAAAGUGCUUGGGCUCCAGGGGGAGUAUGGUCGCAAGGCUGAAACUUAAAGAAAUUGACGGAAGGGCACCACCAGGGGUGGAACCUGCGGCUUAAUUUGACUCAACACGGGGAAACUCACCAGGUCGACUUCGUCUGGGCCUGGAAAAGUCGGGCGCCGGCCACAACGGCAGGCGCUGCGGCUAGUAUCGAACUUCACUCCGCGUGGGGAAGCCCCCUCGUCGGGCGCGGAGACGGCAGCCGUCGAGGUUCGCCGUUGUUCGAUGCGACACCAGCUGGUACAGGGGACGCCGAACCGCUCAGCAGGCCGCUGAGCGGUAGGGCCAAUCCUGUGGCGAGCUCGGGUUGCGCCGAGCCGCUGCAACGCGCGCUAAGCGGUGGGCUAGGGGAAGCGUUUAGGCUCCUCUGGCUUAAGGUACGUGCUAAUCCCGCAGGGAACUGCGGCCCCUCCGAACAGGUCCGACUUCACCGAAGCGGAAGGGGCGGCGCGUCGAGCGAAAGCCCGGCGCGCCGUGCUGUGAUGAUGCCAGACACAAUGAGGAUUGACAGAUUGAGAGCUCUUUCUUGAUUUUGUGGGUGGUGGUGCAUGGCCGUUCUUAGUUGGUGGAGUGAUUUGUCUGCUUAAUUGCGAUAACGAACGAGACCUUAACCUGCUAAAUAGCCCGUAUUGCUUUGGCAGUACGCCGGCUUCUUAGAGGGACUAUCGGCUCAAGCCGAUGGAAGUUUGAGGCAAUAACAGGUUGAAGGAGAUUGAAAUAUCACAGGCCUGUCAUAGUGGGACGCCUCGUUAAACAUUGACCGCUAGUCCAGCGACUUUACCUCCGUUGGGGAAGCUCCCCUACUGUCGGGCGGAAUUAGGAGGCCCUCCUGUCGAAGGCAAGAGGGCCUUGUCGCGGGCGACACCACCUGGUACAGGGGACGCCGAACCGCUCAGCAGGCCGCUGAGCGGCAGGCCGAUCCUGUGGCGAGCUCGGGUUGCGCCGAGCCGUCGCAACGCGCGCAAAGGGGUGGGCUGCGUCUCCUACACGAGGAGCCAGCUUAAGGUACGUGCUAAUCCCAUGGGGAACCAUGCCGCUGCAGUGAGGCCCGACAGGCCGAGCUGCAGAGGAGGCGGUCGGUGGAAGGAAAAAGUACACCGGUCGGCCUGGCGCCCGCGAGGGCAAGAUGCUGUGAUGCCCUUAGAUGUCCUGGGCCGCACGCGCGUUACACUGACGGAGCCAGCGAGUACUCCCUUGGCCGGAAGGCCCGGGUAAUCUUGUUAAACUCCGUCGUGCUGGGGAUAGAGCAUUGCAAUUAUUGC
RNAcentral lists this ribosomal RNA (2716 nucleotides) under Pleurocordyceps ramosopulvinata. RNAcentral describes it as "Polycephalomyces ramosopulvinatus 18S ribosomal RNA". The stretch from base 1 to 2352 matches the Rfam family "Eukaryotic small subunit ribosomal RNA". The record is from RNAcentral. Lineage: Eukaryota; Fungi; Ascomycota; Sordariomycetes; Hypocreales; Polycephalomycetaceae.